This is a non-coding RNA of Podarcis lilfordi (Lilford's wall lizard), 68 nucleotides long. Lineage: Eukaryota; Metazoa; Chordata; Lepidosauria; Squamata; Lacertidae. The record is from the annotation of a GenBank genome assembly.
GCAUAGCUCAGUGGUAGAGCACCUGCUUCGCAUGCAUAAGGUCCUGGGUUCAUCUCCAGGUAGCAGCU